RNAcentral lists this ribosomal RNA (301 nucleotides) under uncultured bacterium. RNAcentral describes it as "partial 16S ribosomal RNA". It matches the Rfam family "Bacterial small subunit ribosomal RNA", at positions 509 to 807 of the family's 1533-position model. The record is from RNAcentral.
CAGUCGCCGCGGGAAUACGUAGGUGGCAAGCGUUGUCCGGAUUUAUUGGGCGUAAAGCGAGCGCAGGCGGUUUCUUAAGUCUGAUGUGAAAGCCCCCGGCUCAACCGAGGAGGGUCAUUGGAAACUGGGAAACUUGAGUGCAGAAGAGGAGAGUGGAAUUCCAUGUGUAGCGGUGAAAUGCGUAGAUAUAUGGAGGAACACCAGUGGCGAAGGCGGCUCUCUGGUCUGUAACUGACGCUGAGGCUCGAAAGCGUGGGGAGCAAACAGGAUUAGAUACCCGUGUAGUCCCUGUCUCUUAUAC